This 507-nucleotide ribosomal RNA is filed under the name uncultured bacterium. Its description in RNAcentral is "bacterial SSU rRNA". It matches the Rfam family "Bacterial small subunit ribosomal RNA", at positions 29 to 524 of the family's 1533-position model. The record is from RNAcentral.
AACGAACGCUGGCGGCGCGUCUUAAGCAUGCAAGUCGGACGGCAAGGGGAGCUUGCUCCCCCUAGAGUGGCGGACUGGUGAGUAACGCGUGGGUGACCUACCCUUGAGAUGGGGAUAGCCAUUAGAAAUAGCGGAUAAUACCGAAUACGCUCUUUUUGCUGUGGCGAGAAGAGGAAACAGGCUACGGCCUGGCUCGAGGAUGGGCCCGCGUCCCAUUAGCUAGUUGGUGAGGUAACGGCCCACCAAGGCGACGAUGGGUAUCCGGCCUGAGAGGGUGUACGGACACAUUGGGACUGAGAUACGGCCCAAAACUCCUACGGGAGGCAGCAGCUAAGAAUAUUCCGCAAUGGACGAAAGUCUGACGGAGCGACGCCGCGUGGAUGAAGAAGGCCGAAAGGUUGUAAAAUCCUUUUGCUGAUGAAGAAUAAGUGGUGUAGGGAAUGACAUCAUGAUGACAUUAGUCGGUGAAUAAGCCCCGGCUAACUACGUGCCAGCAGCCGCGGUAAA